RNAcentral lists this ribosomal RNA (3185 nucleotides) under Georgenia sp. SUBG003. RNAcentral describes it as "bacterial LSU rRNA". It matches the Rfam family "Bacterial large subunit ribosomal RNA". Lineage: Bacteria; Bacillati; Actinomycetota; Actinomycetes; Allobogoriellales; Allobogoriellaceae. The record is from RNAcentral.
ACAGUGGACGCGAGCAUCUUUGAUCUUUUUGUGGUCAAGUUUUUUAAGAGCAUUCGGUGGAUGCCUUGGCACCAGGAGCCGAAGAAGGACGUUGUAGCCUGCGAUAAGCCUCGGGGGAGCUGGCAAACGAGCUGUGAUCCGAGGGUGUCCGAAUGGGGGAAACCCGGCCAGAGUCAUGUCUGGUUACCCCGCGCCUGAAUAUAUAGGGGCGUGUGGGGGGGGAACGCGGGGGAAGUGAAACAUCUCAGUACCCGCAGGAAGAGAUAUUCCGUGAGUAGUGGCGAGCGAAAGCGGACGAGGCUAAACCGGGGGGUGUGUGACAGCCGGCGGGCGUUGCACCCUCGGGGGUCGUGGGACCUGCUGACCAGCUCUGCCGGGGCUGGUGGGGGAGUGAGAAAGUCGCGGUGUAGUCGAACGGUCUGGGAAGGCCGGGCACAGUGGGUGAGACCCCCCGUAGACGAAAACGUCGUGGCCUCCUUGCAGGGGAUCCCGAGUAGCACGGGGGCCCGUGAAAUCCCCGUGUGAAUCUGCCAAGACCACUUGGUAAGCCUAAAUACUACCUGGUGACCGAUAGCGGACAAGUACCGUGAGGGAAAGGUGAAAAGUACCCCCGGGGAGGGGGAGUGAAAUAGUACCUGAAACCGGAUGCUUACAAUCCGUCGGAGCCUCCAUGGCUGGGGGUGACGGCGUGCCUUUUUGAAGAAUGAGCCUGCGAGUUAGUGGCAUGUGGCGAGGUUAACCCGGGGUGGGGGAAGCCGUAGCGAAAGCGAGUCCGAACAGGGGCGCACCAGUCGCGUGCUCUAGACCCGAAGCGGAGUGAUCUACCCAUGGGCAGGUUGAAGCACGUGUAAGAGCGUGUGGAGGACCGAACCCACUUAGGUUGAAAACUGAGGGGAUGACCUGUGGGUAGGGGGUGAAAGGCCAAUCAAACUCCGUGAUAGCUGGUUCUCCCCGAAAUGCAUUUAGGUGCAGCGUCAUGUGUUUCUUGCCGGAGGUAGAGCUACUGGAUGGCCGAUGGGCCCUACAAGGUUACUGACGUCAACCAAACUCCGAAUGCCGGUAAGUGAGAGCAUGGCAGUGAGACUGCGGGCGAUAAGGUUCGUGGUCGAGAGGGAAACAGCCCAGACCACCGGCUAAGGCCCCCAAGCGUGUGCUAAGUGGGAAAGGAUGUGGAGUUGCACAGACAACCAGGAGGUUGGCUUAGAAGCAGCCACCCUUGAAAGAGUGCGUAAUAGCUCACUGGUCAAGUGAUUCUGCGCCGACAAUUCAGCGGGGCUCAAGCACACCGCCGAAGCCGUGGCAUCCGCGCACACCCCCAGCAUCCCCCUCGAGGGGGUGUUCAGGGGGCGCGGGGUGGGGUAGGGGGAGCGUCGUGUGGGGAGGUGAAGCUGCGGGGGUGACCCAGUGGUGGAUCCCACACGAGUGAGAAUGCAGGCAUGAGUAGCGAAUGACGGGUGAGAAACCCGUCCGCCGAAUGACCAAGGGUUCCAGGGCCAGGUUAAUCCGCCCUGGGUAAGUCGGGACCUAAGGCGAGGCCGACAGGCGUAGUCGAUGGACAACGGGUUGAUAUUCCCGUACCGGCGAAGGACCGACCAUGCCGACCCCGGUGAUGCUGACCACCCAACGUCUCGUGGGUUCCUUCGGGAACCGGCGGGACCGCGCGUGGGACCCGAUCCGGCAGUAGGCAAGCGUGUUAACAGGGGUGACGCAGACAGGUAGCCACCGCGUGCUUAAUGGCAAUGCACGUCUAAGGAUGCAGGGCGGGGUGCAGGCAAAUCCGCACCCCACGAAGCCUCAGGUCCGACAGUGACCCCGUAUGGGGGAAGCAGGGUGAUCCUAUGCUGCCGAGAAAAGCCUCGACGCGAGGGACUAGCCGCCCGUACCCUAAACCGACUCAGGUGGUCAGGUAGAGAAUACCAAGGCGAUCGAGAGAAUCGUGGUUAAGGAACUCGGCAAAAUGCCCCCGUAACUUCGGGAGAAGGGGGGGCCUGAGGGGUGAGGCCACUAGCUGGCUAGCCCUUUCGGGCCGCAGAGACCAGGGAGAAGCGACUGUUUACUAAAAAACACAGGUCCGUGCGAAGUCGCAAGACGAUGUAUACGGACUGACGCCUGCCCGGUGCUGGAAGGUUAAGAGGACGGGUCAGCCGCGAGGCGAAGCUCAGAAUUUAAGCCCCAGUAAACGGCGGUGGUAACUAUAACCAUCCUAAGGUAGCGAAAUUCCUUGUCGGGUAAGUUCCGACCUGCACGAAUGGCGUAACGACUUCUCCGCUGUCUCGACCGCGAACUCGGCGAAAUUGCACUACGAGUAAAGAUGCUCGUUUUCGCGCAGCAGGACGGAAAGACCCCCGGGACCUUUACUAUAGCUUGGUAUUGGUGUUCGGUACGGCUUGUGUAGGAUAGGUGGGAGACCGUGAAGCCGCCACGCCAGUGGUGGUGGAGUCGCCGUUGAAAUACCACUCUGGUCGUACUGCACAUCUAACCUCGGUCCGUGAUCCGGACCAGGGACAGUGCCUGGUGGGUAGUUUAACUGGGGCGGUUGCCUCCCAAAAUGUAACGGAGGCGCUCAAAGGUUCCCUCAGCCUGGUUGGCAAUCAGGUGUCGAGUGCAAGUGCACAAGGGAGCUUGACUGUGAGACUGACAGGUCGAGCAGGGACGAAAGUCGGAACUAGUGAUCCGGCGGUGGCUUGUGGAAGCGCCGUCGCUCAACGGAUAAAAGGUACCCCGGGGAUAACAGGCUGAUCUUGCCCAAGAGUCCAUAUCGACGGCAUGGUUUGGCACCUCGAUGUCGGCUCGUCGCAUCCUGGGGCUGGAGUAGGUCCCAAGGGUUGGGCUGUUCGCCCAUUAAAGCGGUACGCGAGCUGGGUUUAGAACGUCGUGAGACAGUUCGGUCCCUAUCCGCUGCGCGCGCAGGAAACUUGAGAAGGGCUGUCCCUAGUACGAGAGGACCGGGACGGACGAACCUCUGGUGUGCCAGUUGUUCCGCCAGGAGCAUGGCUGGUUGGCUACGUUCGGAAGGGAUAACCGCUGAAAGCAUCUAAGCGGGAAGCCUGCUUCAAGAUGAGGUUUCCACCACCCUCGUGGUGGGAAGGCCCCCAGCAGACCACUGGGUUGAUAGGCCGGACGUGGAAGCGCGGCAACGCGUGGAGCUGACCGGUACUAAUUGGCCGACAACUUGCCACAACACC